GACGAACGCUGGCGGCGUGCUUAACACAUGCAAGUCGAGCGGUAAGGCCCUUUCGGGGGUACACGAGCGGCGAACGGGUGAGUAACACGUGGGUGACCUGCCCUCAGCUCUGGGAUAAGCCCGGGAAACUGGGUCUAAUACCGGAUAUGACUUCAUGACGCAUGUUGUGGAGUGGAAAGCCUUGUGCGGCUGAGGAUGGGCCCGCGGCCUAUCAGCUUGUUGGUGGGGUGANGGCCUACCAAGGCGACGACGGGUAGCCGGCCUGAGAGGGCGACCGGCCACACUGGGA
This 289-nucleotide ribosomal RNA is filed under the name uncultured bacterium. Its description in RNAcentral is "partial 16S ribosomal RNA". It matches the Rfam family "Bacterial small subunit ribosomal RNA", at positions 28 to 318 of the family's 1533-position model. The record is from RNAcentral.